This 253-nucleotide ribosomal RNA is filed under the name uncultured bacterium. Its description in RNAcentral is "partial 16S ribosomal RNA". It matches the Rfam family "Bacterial small subunit ribosomal RNA", at positions 524 to 776 of the family's 1533-position model. The record is from RNAcentral.
UACGAAGGGGGCUAGCGUUGCUCGGAAUGACUGGGCGUAAAGGGCGCGUAGGCGGUUUGCACAGUCAGAUGUGAAAUUCCUGGGCUCAACCUGGGGGCUGCAUUUGAUACGUGUGGACUGGAGUGGGGAAGAGGGUCGUGGAAUUCCCAGUGUAGAGGUGAAAUUCGUAGAUAUUGGGAAGAACACCCGUGGCGAAGGCGGCUCUCUGGGACGGUACUGACGCUGAGACGCGAAAGCGUGGGGAGCGAACAGG